Long non-coding RNA from Galeopterus variegatus (Sunda flying lemur), 533 nucleotides. RefSeq lists it as uncharacterized. NCBI's taxonomy places the organism in Eukaryota, Metazoa, Chordata, Mammalia, Dermoptera, Cynocephalidae. The transcript has 3 exons. The record is from RefSeq and is a predicted model, not a curated record.
AGCAUCCUGAUUUUUAGGAAAUUUUGGACUGUAGAAUCCUGUAUUAUAUGAGAUUUUUAUUUAUAACAGUGGCUAUAAUUAUAUAUUAUAGAUUUUGUGUUUAUUACAUGGAACCUUCAAAUACUUGAAAGUGGAGUCUUUGUAACUACUUUUUUUCUUUUGUAGGUUCUCUUUUGAAUUUGGCCAAGCAUGCAGCUUCUACAGUUCAGAUUCUUGGAGCAGAAAAGGCACUUUUCAGAGCCCUCAAGUCUAGACGGGAUACCCCUAAGUAUGGUCUCAUUUAUCAUGCUUCACUUGUAGGCCAGACAAGUCCCAAACACAAAGGAAAGAUUUCUCGAAUGCUGGCAGCAAAAACUGUUUUGGCUAUUCGUUAUGAUGCUUUUGGUGAGGAUUCCAGUUCUGCAAUGGGAGUUGAGAACAGAGCCAAAUUAGAGGCCAGGUUGAGAACCUUGGAAGAUAGAGGGAUACGGAAAAUAAGCGGAACAGGAAAGGCAUUAGCGAAAACAGAAAAAUAUGAACACAAAAGGUGAGUA